Molecule: long non-coding RNA, 3583 nt
Organism: Lates calcarifer (barramundi perch)
Lineage: Eukaryota; Metazoa; Chordata; Actinopteri; Centropomidae
Exons: 3
Source: RefSeq, a predicted model, not a curated record
GGUUAGUAAGUGUGGAAGACAGGCUGAGGAUUGAAGGAUUAAACGACACCUCCUCUCCAUCUGGAACAACGGCUCCAUCAUGGGCUUCAUCAGUAGGAGAGGAGAGGGAGAAGGCUGUGCUUCCUGCUCAGGUUCAGUGAGAGCAGCAGAGAGGGAGCCAUCACCUUCACCUGGAUCCAACACUGCUGCUUUAAACUCUGCACGGCUCGCUGACAGAACCAUCCACAGUUUUCACACUCGGAUUUCUCCCAAAUCCUCCAUUUGUUGGGUCAUUGUAAAUCUUCUGAGACUGAGCUGUGUUUAUGGGAAGCUGUUUCUCACUCGUGCCGGCAAAAUUCAAUUAAUGGGCAGCCGUCCCUUUACUUUGAGCACGAUAUCUCAGUAAGGCCUCGAGGGAAUUUUAAUACAAAUUUAAUACAAAUAUUCAGUUGGACUCAAAGAUGAACUGAUUACAUGCAGGUGGUCAAAAGGCCAAAGGUCACCGUGACAGCACCAAACACAUUUACGGCCACAAUUCAAGAAUUCACAGUCUUAUUAACUGCAGCAGGACUGGUCGGUGGAGGCGUAUCGAUACUACGAUUGAUACUUUUCUGUUACUUGGUGGUUGUUAACAGAACCGCUCAUGUUUUCAUUAUUUAACUUUGAGUGAGCAACGUCUUGAGGAACGCACAGAAAACUGGAAACCGCAUCCUCUCUGCCUCUUCAUACUCAAACUGUAGAGUUGACUGUGUUCAGAGUUCCUGAAGCAGCAGUCAUUUGUUUUUCCUGCUCAGUCUGAUCUCUGUCUUCUCAGCUGUAAAUCUCGCCGUCUGUCUUUUGUUUUGUCUUUUUGUAUUUCUCUUCCUGCUCGGCCUCCAGACUAGCAAUCUGAUUGGAUUUGGAGAGUUUGACGUUCAGGUAGACGCCGCUUCAAUCUGUUCCCCUGCUAAACCGCUGCAGUUUAACUCAACUAUACUUUACUACACUAACAGCUGUGGCUCUCCCUCCUCCAACACAAGUGUUUGUUUUAUUUUUGACACUUAUUAAAGCUUGAAAUACAAACAGCAGUAGAGAAAAUAUUUGACAUGCAUGCAGAAUGAAUUUAGGACAAAUCUAAAGCGCCUCGGUCAUGUAUUGUAUUUCUUUACGUGUCUGUUGCAUGAAAUUCACUUGUUAACAUAAAAUUCAUGCAGAAAGAUCCCCUUCAUUCUUAGAACAAUACUCUGGAUUUACAUUAGAGCUGGAGUCACUUUACUUUGUGUCUUUGUACCUAACAACCUGUCCUUUUCUCUUCUUCUCAGAUGAGCGCAGACUUUCCUGACCAGAACUAAAGAUCAGCUCCUCAUCCUCUUGUUACCAGUGUACUCUUCAUGUCUUUGUUUAAUGCAGAGACUAAAGCCCCAUUUGGACGGGAUUAACUGUACGGGAGGAGGUGGAGAAUUAAAUCUUCACUGUGGUCUUCUGUAAUGUAACCUCCAUAACUCUGCUAAGAAGUCAGAAAAAAGACACUUGUGUUUGUGCAGAACUUGCUUUUGGAACUUGUUUGUAACUUUUCUUCAGUAUCACAGUGAUCCAGUGACAGCUGUCUGUACGCCCAUGGGUUCACUGCAGACAGGAGAUGAUCGCAGCUAAUUCUGCAUACUUAGAAUAAAAAUAUGUGAAUAAAUGUAUAUGCUGUGAUUACUGCAGGUAUGGGUGGGUGGGCCAGGUAUUGUUAAACUAGCCCACCUCCUCUAAAAAAGAUCCAGUCCAAAUGGAGCUGAAGUCGGGUUUAGACGGGAUCUGUCACUUUAUUUUUGUACAUACAUCUGUUUUUAUUAAGUCCAUAAUACUCCCUGCUGUAAAACAGUGAAAAUAAAGAAUAUGAUUCUGCGUGCCUCCUUAAAUUUGCCAUAAAAUCACAUUGAUCAUUUUUAAACUUUAUUCAAACGUUGACAGAAUAUUAUGACAACGUUUCACAAUAAGACAUGAAAACAACAACGUGUCAGAUUGACUAUCGAUCCGUUCCAAAUGACAGUCAAUACAGCGCAUGCUCGGAUUUCCUCGAGCCCCCUCCCACACACAAACACACAACAGGAUUUCUGACCGUAAAUACCCUAAUAAACACGUGUAACAUUUGUCAGAGCGGCCGGGGAGCGUAAAAUCAUUCUUAAUCCACCUGAAACCACAGGAAACUCCGGCAGGAUCACCGUUAGAGCCAUCAUAGCGCCACAUUAUUGUUCAAGGAUUUUUACUGAAGAUAUUCGCUUUCAGGGUCAAUAAAAUGAAUUAAACCCAUAUCCUACCUAACCUUACUGAUAGCAAUGUAAAGAUGAAACACUAGGGGGCGCAAACGAAAAGCAGAGUUUGACUAAGUUGAACAAACACCUGUCAGCGCCGUGACACCAGAGUGUUGUAUGGAGCGGGUUGAAGCAACAGAGAGGGAACAGGAAUAUUUCAUCAUAAAGAUCGUUUCUCAGCAGGUUUUCAUUCAAAUAAAACAUUCUGACCAUCACAACUGAAUCUGAUUUAAUCAUUCCAACCCUCACAUAACUUUUGUUGUGAUCUGGCGUUAUAUAAACUGAGAUUGUGGUUAGGGUUAGGGUUAGGGGUGCGGGGGUGCGGGGUGGGGGUUGCACGGGAGGGGGAAGAGGGAAGAGGGGUGGGGGGUUCUUUUAUUUUAUUUUUUAACUUUCAGGCUGUGGAGCAGGAGACGCUCAAAGAAAAGUUGGCCCAUAAACUCAUAGCAAUCAUUUUUAAUUGAGAACAGCUGCAGCUUUCUUCUGAUUUCUCUGAUGAUGUCAAGUCAAUAUUUAUUUAUACAGCGUCAAAUCAUAACAGACGUCAUCUCGAGGCGCUGUACACACAGAGCAGGUUUACACCGUGCUCUUUAUAUUAUAAUAUUUAUAAGGAGACCCAACAAUUCAAACCAUGAGCAAGCGUGGUGUGUUCAUGAAACGGUCAAAGACUUUAAAGUGGGGAUGAAGUCAGUCAGAGUAUUACAAGAAACACAGAGCCUUCGGCAGCUCAACACAAACUAAGGUGGAGAUCACCUGAAACCCCCCUCUGUUCUCUACUUGACUUGGUACAGUCCAGUCAGACACUUUGUCAGAUUUGAGCGACAACCUCCGAGUGUCGUUUGAAUCAAGAGAAAUACGUGACAAAGUGUUAAAUGCAACACAAAUAUAAAACAAACUGACUGUUCUGCAAACGUCUGUGGAUUUAUAUGUUGUCCGCAGCAGUUCACACAAUAAAACAUCGAUCUUAUAGUGAUUUAUUCACGGGACAUUUUGUUUGGGGGAAUCACACACGUGUCAGAAACGGGAUUCGAUUCCCAUGAGACCUGCACAGAGUGAGGUCCAGCCGCCCCCCUCCUCUCCCCAGUGCACUGCCCCCCUCCCCCCACGCUCUCGUCUAUAUAAGGCGCGCCGGAAACAGCGACUUCCUCUUUGACACCCGGCGCGCGCAGACGGAGCCAGCGAGAACUGCUGCACGUGGUACAAACAUUUGAAACGGGAGGUGAGGAGAUACACUCGUGUCUGCGCUGCUGUUUGUUUGGACCUUGUUAUUUAACCUUUGUUGCAUCCAUUCACAAGUGUAUCUCUGCACCUUUUGUUGCUGCUAG